GAUGAACGCUAGCUACAGGCUUAACACAUGCAAGUCGAGGGGAAACGACAUCGAAAGCUUGCUUUUGAUGGGCGUCGACCGGCGCACGGGUGAGUAACGCGUAUCCAACCUGCCCAUCACUUGGGAAUAACCUUGCGAAAGUAAGACUAAUACCCAAUGACAUCCCACGAAGACAUCUGAAUGGGAUUAAAGAUUUAUCGGUGAUGGAUGGGGAUGCGUCUGAUUAGCUUGUUGGCGGGGUAACGGCCCACCAAGGCAACGAUCAGUAGGGGUUCUGAGAGGAAGGUCCCCCACAUUGGAACUGAGGCACGGUCCAAACUCCUACGGGCGGCAGCAGUGAGGAAUAUUGGUCAAUGGGCGAGAGCCUGAACCAGCCAAGUAGCGUGCAGGAUGACGGCCCUAUGGGUUGUAAACUGCUUUUAUAAGGGAAUAAAGUGGGUCUCGUGAGACUUUUUGCAUGUACCUUAUGAAUAAGGACCGGCUAAUUCCGUG
Molecule: ribosomal RNA, 492 nt
Filed under: uncultured bacterium
Lineage: Bacteria
Description: partial 16S ribosomal RNA
Rfam family: Bacterial small subunit ribosomal RNA
Source: RNAcentral